Molecule: small nucleolar RNA, 71 nt
Organism: Nannospalax galili (Upper Galilee mountains blind mole rat)
Lineage: Eukaryota; Metazoa; Chordata; Mammalia; Rodentia; Spalacidae
Product: small nucleolar RNA SNORD104
Exons: 1
Source: RefSeq, a predicted model, not a curated record
GUUGGUGAUGACAUUCCACUUUUUGCACCUGUUAGACUGCUGAUGCAGGUGAUGUGAAUAGGAGCCUGAGC